UAAUACGUAGGGGGCAAGCGUUGUCCGGAUUUACUGGGCGUAAAGAGCGCGUAGGCGGAAGCUUAAGUGUGGCCUGAAAGCCCCCGGCUCAACCGGGGAAGGUGGCUGCAAACUGGGCUUCUUGAGGGGGAGAGGGGAAAGUGGAAUUCCGGGUGUAGCGGUGAAAUGCGUAGAGAUCCGGAGGAACACCAGUGGCGAAGGCGGCUUUCUGGCUCCGCCCUGACGCUGAGGCGCGGAAGCGUGGGGAGCGAACGG
Molecule: ribosomal RNA, 255 nt
Filed under: uncultured prokaryote
Description: partial 16S ribosomal RNA
Rfam family: Bacterial small subunit ribosomal RNA
Source: RNAcentral